UGAGGCAGGAGGAUUGCUUGAGCAUGGA
RNAcentral lists this non-coding RNA (28 nucleotides) under Homo sapiens (human). The record is from RNAcentral. Lineage: Eukaryota; Metazoa; Chordata; Mammalia; Primates; Hominidae.